This 393-nucleotide ribosomal RNA is filed under the name uncultured bacterium. RNAcentral describes it as "partial 16S ribosomal RNA". It matches the Rfam family "Bacterial small subunit ribosomal RNA", at positions 523 to 918 of the family's 1533-position model. The record is from RNAcentral.
AUACGGAGGAUCCGAGCGUUAUCCGGAUUUAUUGGGUUUAAAGGGAGCGUAGGUGGAUUGUUAAGUCAGUUGUGAAAGUUUGCGGCUCAACCGUAAAAUUGCAGUUGAAACUGACAGUCUUGAGUACAGUAGAGGUGGGCGGAAUUCGUGGUGUAGCGGUGAAAUGCAUAGAUAUGACGAAGAACACCGAUUGCGUAGGCAGCUGACCAGAUCGCAAAUGACGCUCAUGCACGAAAGUGCGGGGAUCGAACAGGAUUAGAUACCCUGGUAGUCCGCACAGUAAACGAUGAAUACUUGUUUUCGGCGAUAUAAUGUCGGAGGCAAAGCGAAAGCGAUAAGUAUUCCACCUGGGGAGUACGCCGGCAACGGUGAAACUCAAAGGAAUUGACGGGG